This 332-nucleotide ribosomal RNA is filed under the name uncultured bacterium. RNAcentral describes it as "bacterial SSU rRNA". It matches the Rfam family "Bacterial small subunit ribosomal RNA", at positions 568 to 898 of the family's 1533-position model. The record is from RNAcentral.
CGUGUAGGCGGUGCUCUAAGUUGGACGUGAAAUCUCCUGGCCUAACUGGGAGGGGCCGUUCAAUACUGGAGCACUUGAGGGCAGAAGAGGGAAGUGGAAUUCCCGGUGUAGCGGUGGAAUGCGUAGAUAUCGGGAGGAACACCUGUGGCGAAGGCGGCUUCCUGGCCUGCCCCUGACGCUGAGACGCGAAAGCUAGGGGAGCAAACGGGAUUAGAUACCCCGGUAGUCCUAGCUGUAAACGAUGGAUACUAGGUGUUGGUGGUAUUAACCCCAUCAGUGCCGUAGCUAACGCGUUAAGUAUCCCGCCUGGGGAGUACGACCGCAAGGUUAAA